UUAAAAUAGUUUAAUUAAAAAUAUUGAUUUGUGGAUUCAAAGAUUUUUCUUAAUUUUAACUU
RNAcentral lists this transfer RNA (62 nucleotides) under Anoeconeossa unicornuta. RNAcentral describes it as "tRNA-His". The record is from RNAcentral. Lineage: Eukaryota; Metazoa; Arthropoda; Insecta; Hemiptera; Aphalaridae.